RNAcentral lists this ribosomal RNA (465 nucleotides) under Vreelandella stevensii. Its description in RNAcentral is "partial 16S ribosomal RNA". It matches the Rfam family "Bacterial small subunit ribosomal RNA", at positions 338 to 795 of the family's 1533-position model. Lineage: Bacteria; Pseudomonadati; Pseudomonadota; Gammaproteobacteria; Oceanospirillales; Halomonadaceae. The record is from RNAcentral.
CCUACGGGUGGCUGCAUUUUUUACUCUUUUCCCCUGCGGGCCCCCCUGAUCCACCCAUGCCGCGUGUGUGCAGAAGGCCCUCGGGUUGUAAAGCACUUUCAGUGAGGAAGAACGCCUGGUGGUUAAUACCCAUCAGGAAAGACAUCACUCACAGAAGAAGCACCGGCUAACUCCGUGCCAGCAGCCGCGGUAAUACGGAGGGUGCGAGCGUUAAUCGGAAUUACUGGGCGUAAAGCGCGCGUAGGUGGCUUGAUAAGCCGGUUGUGAAAGCCCCGGGCUCAACCUGGGAACGGCAUCCGGAACUGUCAAGCUAGAGUGCAGGAGAGGAAGGUAGAAUUCCCGGUGUAGCGGUGAAAUGCGUAGAGAUCGGGAGGAAUACCAGUGGCGAAGGCGGCCUUCUGGACUGACACUGACACUGAGGUGCGAAAGCGUGGGUAGCAAACAGGAUUAGAUACCCUGGUAGUC